AAGCACUUGAUUAUUUUCUAAAGCUUCAUUUGAAUUUUGUGGUGAAUGGUUAGUGCUGACAACAGCUGCUUAGAACUUUUCCUGCCACAUAUAAUGUUUCAGGAUCUACUGCUAUAUAAUUUGUAAGGCUUCUGCUAAUAUUUAAGGCCACUCUCACUGUUUGUUUCUUGCUGUGAGAGUUACUUAUGCCGGCAAGCAAGACAACUUUGCAUUGGAGUCCAGAUCAGCAAGCAGCUAAAGGAUCAGAAUAUCCCCCAUGUCCAUGUAUUUCGGUGUAUAUCUCCAUAAACUAAUACCAGUAUCAGGAAACAACUUGAACUGAGGCAAGGAUCUUCCUGAUGCCUUUCCUGAGCCUGUUAGCUCAAAGCAUAUGUCUCCCUCAUUAUUUUUCUCCUCAUAAGUUGGUUACAGGUCUGCCAAAAUUUGGUUUGGUCAUGUUAUUGGCUAUAUAGGUUGUCUUGUGUGAUGUGCUCACCAAUGAAGCUAUGGAUAUGAACAAAUCUUCAAUUAACUCUGCUCAGACGCUGUAACAAUCCAAUAAGUAAUGCUACUUUUUUGUCCUUUGAACUCUGAAUUACUACUCACUGUAUGCUGGUUUGAGGAAGUUUAAUGGUUAUUUUUAUGUGG
Long non-coding RNA from Lolium rigidum, 627 nucleotides. RefSeq lists it as uncharacterized. Lineage: Eukaryota; Viridiplantae; Streptophyta; Magnoliopsida; Poales; Poaceae. The transcript has 4 exons. The record is from RefSeq and is a predicted model, not a curated record.